RNAcentral lists this non-coding RNA (25 nucleotides) under Mus musculus (house mouse). Lineage: Eukaryota; Metazoa; Chordata; Mammalia; Rodentia; Muridae. The record is from RNAcentral.
UGUCGAAUGCCUGGAAGAUCCAAAA